AUUGAACGCUGGCGGCAUGCCUUACACAUGCAAGUCGAACGGUAACGGGCCUUCGGGUGCCGACGAGUGGCGAACGGGUGAGUAAUACAUCGGAACGUGCCCGAUCGUGGGGGAUAACGAGGCGAAAGCUUUGCUAAUACCGCAUACGAUCUACGGAUGAAAGCAGGGGACCGCAAGGCCUUGCGCGGACGGAGCGGCCGAUGGCAGAUUAGGUAGUUGGUGGGAUAAAAGCUUACCAAGCCGACGAUCUGUAGCUGGUCUGAGAGGAUGAUCAGCCACACUGGGACUGAGACACGGCCCAGACUCCUACGGGAGGCAGCAGUGGGGAAUUUUGGACAAAGGGCGCAAGCCUGAUCCAGCCAUGCCGCGUGCAGGAUGAAGGCCUUCGGGUUGUAAACUGCUUUUGUACGGAACGAAAAGCCUUCUUUUAAUACAGGAGGGUCAUGACGGUACCGGAAGAAUAAGCACCGGCUAACUACGUG
RNAcentral lists this ribosomal RNA (482 nucleotides) under uncultured bacterium. Its description in RNAcentral is "partial 16S ribosomal RNA". It matches the Rfam family "Bacterial small subunit ribosomal RNA", at positions 30 to 507 of the family's 1533-position model. The record is from RNAcentral.